This 146-nucleotide ribosomal RNA is filed under the name Nocardia farcinica. Its description in RNAcentral is "partial 23S ribosomal RNA". It matches the Rfam family "Bacterial large subunit ribosomal RNA", at positions 2781 to 2925 of the family's 2925-position model. The record is from RNAcentral. Lineage: Bacteria; Bacillati; Actinomycetota; Actinomycetes; Mycobacteriales; Nocardiaceae.
CUAAGCGGGAAGCCUGUUCCAAGAUGAGGUUUCUCACCCCCUCGAGGGGGUAAGGCCCCCCACAGACCAUGGGGUUGAUAGGCCAGAACUGGAAGCGCGGUAACGUGUGGAGGUGACUGGUACUAAUCGGCCGAGGACUUACCAAC